AUGCAGUCUUAAAAACAGCAAAACUGUGUUCCCCACUGCUCAAAACAAUGUUGUUCCUUAACUAUACCUGUCUGCUAGACACCUGUAGUAGCCAGGGAUGCUUGGUCUCAUACAU
This 115-nucleotide small nucleolar RNA is filed under the name Nannospalax galili (Upper Galilee mountains blind mole rat). RNAcentral describes it as "Small nucleolar RNA SNORA63 (ENSNGAG00000004661.1)". The record is from RNAcentral. Lineage: Eukaryota; Metazoa; Chordata; Mammalia; Rodentia; Spalacidae.